UCGCAAGAGGAGCCUGGAGACAGGUGCUGCAUGGCUGUCGUCAGCUCGUGUCGUGAGAUGUUGGGUUAAGUCCCGCAACGAGCGCAACCCUUGUCUUAGUUGCCAUCAUUCAGUUGGGCACUCUAAAGAGACUGCCGGUGUCAAACCGGAGGAAGGUGGGGAUGACGUCAAGUCCUCAUGGCCUUUAUGACCAGGGCUACACACGUACUACAAUGGCCGGUACAAAGGGCAGCCACUUAGCGAUAAGGAGCCAAUCCCGUAAAGCCGGUCUCAGUCCGGAUUGGAGUCUGCAACUCGACUCCAUGAAGUUGGAAUCGCUAGUAAUCGCAGAUCAGCACGCUGCGGUGAAUACGUUCCCGGGCCUU
Molecule: ribosomal RNA, 365 nt
Filed under: uncultured Desulfocapsa sp.
Lineage: Bacteria; Pseudomonadati; Thermodesulfobacteriota; Desulfobulbia; Desulfobulbales; Desulfocapsaceae
Description: bacterial SSU rRNA
Rfam family: Bacterial small subunit ribosomal RNA
Source: RNAcentral